RNAcentral lists this long non-coding RNA (27399 nucleotides) under Triticum aestivum (bread wheat). Its description in RNAcentral is "long non-coding RNA (TAES_LNC021815)". The record is from RNAcentral. Lineage: Eukaryota; Viridiplantae; Streptophyta; Magnoliopsida; Poales; Poaceae.
UGUUUUUUUUUGUUUUAAUUAGUGUUUGUGCCAAGUAAAUCCUUUAGGAUCUUCUUGGGUGAUAGUUGUUUGAUCUUGCUGAAAAACACAGAAACUUUGCACUCACGAAAAUAAUUCUCAUAAAUCACAUAAAAGAGAUUUUGCCCAGAUUAUUUUUUCAUAAGAUUAAUAUACAAACUAUGUUGGUCUUCCUAAUUUGGUAGAAUUGUUGGAGUUACAGAAGUAUUCGAAAGUUCCAUAUUACUACAGACUGUUCUGUUUUGACAGAUUCUGUUUUCUUUGUGUUGUGUGCUUAUUUUGAUGGCUCUAUGGUUUUCUUUGAUGAGUUUUUGCCAUAGAAAAGUUGGAAUAUAGUAUAUAUAAUAAAAAAACAAAAUAAUAAUUGGUUUGACACAGCACUUAUAGUAGUGGUUUGCUUUCUUUUACUGACGGAUCUCACAAGGGUUUUAUUGAGUUUUGUGUGAUUGAAGUUCUCAAGUUUUGGGUUAUCUUACGAUGGAUGAAAGAAGGAUAGAACAGCCUAAGCUUGGGGAUGCCACGGCAUCCCAAGCUAUUAUCCAAGAAUGAGCAACCAACUAAGCUUGGGGAUGCCCCCGAGUGGCAUCCCCUCUUUCUCCCAACGGCCAUCGGUAUUUUACUCGAGGCUAUAUUUUUAUUCGUCACAUGAUAUGUGUUUUGCUUGGAGUGUCUUGUAUGAUAUGUGUCUUUGCUUGUUUUAUUUUGUGUUUUAAGUCAUCAAUCCUUGUUGGACACACCUAUUUGAGAGAGCCAAAAUUAUGUCAUGACUUGUUAGAAUUGCUCUCUAUGCUUCACUUAAAUUUUUAUGAGCAAUGGACUUGCUCUAGUGCUUCACUUAUAUCUUUUUGAGCACGGUGUGCUUAGUAUUUUUGAAGAAAUGCUCUCUUGCUUCACUUAGAAUUAUAUGGGAGUUAUUAAAAUUUUGAAGAAAUUCUCUCUUGCUUCACCUAAAUUAUUUUGAGAGAAAGAAAAUAUGUUAUGCUCAUGAUCUUCACUUAUAUUUGUUUGAGCUUAUGAAAAGCAACACAUGAAAAUUAGUCCCAAAGUGAUAGAUAUCCAAGAAGGAUAAAGAAAGAAAGAAAAUAUAUGUCAUGAAGAUCAUUGGAUAAAAUAAACUUAAUUCUUAGUAAUAGUUUUGAGAUAUGAUGAUGUGAUAUGUGAGUUAUGUUGAUGAGUAAUUGUGCUCUAGUAAGAAUAUUGGUGUUAAGGUUUGUGAUUCCCUAUGCAUGCAUGAAAGUCAAUAAUCAUGCAAUAAAAAUUAUAUCCUUCUUGUGGUGCAUUAUUCGGUGUAAAUUAUGCUUAAUGCAUGCUUAUGAGAUUAUUCAUUUCUUGGUUGGUCGCUUCUCAAUCUUUUUGCUAGCCUUCAUUUUGCACCAAGUAUGACCUCCACUUGUGCAUCCAAAAUCCUUUAAACCAUUUUUGCCACAUGAGUCCACUAUAUCUACCUAUAUGCAGUAUUCUUUAGCUGUUCUAAGCAAAUUUGCAAGUGUCAUCUCUAAUUUUCAAAAUAAACUUCUCUUUUGUGUGUUUGUUUCACUCGUGGAACGGUAAAGGGUAGCAAAUAUUUUCCAUGCUAGAUGUGUUAUUCGCAUGACGAGUGUUUAUUCACUUGUCAUUGCACGAGAGUAAGGCAAAGGUUUAGGGAUGCCCAGUCCCGAAAUGCAAAAAUGAAUUUACUUUAUGUUGUCAAAUAAUAAAUUCUUUGGAAAGUGUUGGUAUGGAGGGCGAUACGGCUAGCCAUGGAAAGUGAAAGUAUGGUGGAAAAAGGAAUAAACUUUAUUUUCUGUUUGGGAACCGCCUAUGAUAUAUCUAGCAUGGAAAGUGUCGGGAUGCUCUGAGUCGUUUUCGUUGGUGGGAUGGAUACACCUCCCAAAAUGUUUUUAUCUCUAUUUUUUCGCUUUGAGCUUUGGCACCUCUACAAAUCCCUACUUCCCUCUGUGAAGGGCCUCUCUGUUACUUUAUGCAAUUUUUAUUUUUGAAAUUGAGUCUCCAUCUUCUCUUAUAAAAGCACCAACUAGGAGGCAAUAUGAUCGUAGUUAAGUAUUGAGUGUAGCUAAUAUUUGAGUGUGGUUCAUGAAUGGAUCAAUGUUUGAGCAUGAUGGGCUAGGGAUAACUUGUUUUAGCAUUGAUAUUUUAAAAGACAUGGUUGCUUGUUGAUAUGCUUGAGUAUCUAAAUUAUUAUGUCAAAACUAGACUAUUACUUUGAAUCACAUAAAAGUCCAAAUGUCCAUGCUAUAAAGAAAAGAAUAUGAUAUGACAUGAUAAACAGCACUCCACAUCAAAAAAUUUGUUUUUAUCACUUACCUACUCGAGGACGAGCAGGAGUUAAACUUGGGGAUGCUGAUACGUCUCCAACGUAUCUAUAAUUUUUGAUUAUUCCAUGUUGUUUUAUUAUCAAUAUUGGAUGUUUCAUAAUCAUUUUAUAGUCAUUUUAUAUCAUUUUUUGUUACUAACCUAUUGACAUAGUGCCAAGUGUCAGUUGUUGUUUUCUGCAUGUUUUUUACAUUGCAGGAAAUCAAUAUCAGACGAAGUCCAAAUGCCACACCAAUUUACAAUGAUUUUCUAUGGACCAAAAGGAAGAAGAUGGGCCCUGGUUGCACCUGGGGGGAGCCCCGAGGAGGGGACAAUCCACCAGGGCAUGCCAGGAGGCCCAGGCGCGCCCUGGUGGGUCGUGCCACCUCGGGUACCCCCCCCCCCCGACCGCCUCUUUACUCUAUAAAUAACCCAAUAUUAUAGAAUACCUAGGGGAGUCGAAGAAAUAUUCAUCCAGCCGCCGUAGAGGCCAGAACCACCAGAUCCAAUCUAGACACCAUCACGGAGGGGUUCACCACUUCUAUUGGUGCCUCUCCGAUGAUGCGUGAGUAGUUCCUUGUAGACCUUUNNNNNNNNNNNNNNNNNNNNNNNNNNNNNNNNNNNNNNNNNNNNNNNNNNNNNNNNNNNNNNNNNNNNNNNNNNNNNNNNNNNNNNNNNNNNNNNNNNNNNNNNNNNNNNNNNNNNNNNNNNNNNNNNNNNNNNNNNNNNNNNNNNNNNNNNNNNNNNNNNNNNNNNNNNNNNNNNNNNNNNNNNNNNNNNNNNNNNNNNNNNNNNNNNNNNNNNNNNNNNNNNNNNNNNNNNNNNNNNNNNNNNNNNNNNNNNNNNNNNNNNNNNNNNNNNNNNNNNNNNNNNNNNNNNNAGUCCAAAUGCCACACCAAUUUACAAUGAUUUUCUAUGGACCAAAAGGAAGAAGAUGGGCCCUGGUUGCACCUGGGGGGAGCCCCGAGGAGGGGACAAUCCACCAGGGCAUGCCAGGAGGCCCAGGCGCGCCCUGGUGGGUCGUGCCACCUCGGGUACCCCCCCCCCCCGCCCGCCUCUUUACUCUAUAAAUAACCCAAUAUUAUAGAAUACCUAGGGGAGUCGAAGAAAUAUUCAUCCAGCCGCCGUAGAGGCCAGAACCACCAGAUCCAAUCUAGACACCAUCACGGAGGGGUUCACCACUUCUAUUGGUGCCUCUCCGAUGAUGCGUGAGUAGUUCCUUGUAGACCUUUGGGUCCAUAGUUAGUAGCUAGAUGGAUUCCUCUCUCUCUCUCUCUCUCUUGAUUAUCAAUACAAUGGUCUCUUGGAGAUCCAUAUGAUGUAAGUCUUUUGGCGGUGUGUUUGUUGGGAUCCAAUGAACUUCGAGUUUAUGAUCAGUUAUAUCUUUUUAUAUCCAUGAAAGUUAUUUGAGUUUCUUUGAUCUCUUAUAUGCGUGAUCUCUUAUAGACUCAUAUUUCUUCUCCGAUAGGGUUUUGUUUGGCCAACUUGAUCUAUUUAUCUUGCAAUGGGAAGAGGUGCUUGGUAGUAGGUUCGAUCUUACGGUGCUUGAUCGCAGUGACAGAAAGGGAACCGACACGUAUGUAUCGUUGCUACUAAGGAUAAAAAGAUGGGAUCCAUAUCCGCCGCAAUAGAUAAAUGAAUCUUGUCUACAUCAUGUCAUCGUUCUUAUUGCAUUACUCCAUUUUUCCAUGAACUUAAUACACUAGAUGCAUGCUGGAUAGCGGUCGAUGUGUGGAGUAAUAGUAGUAGAUGCAGGCAGGAGUCGGUCUACUAAUCUUGGACGUGAUGCCUAUGUAAUGAUCAUUCCCUGGAUAUCAUCAUAAUUAUUUGAAGUUCUAUCAAUUUCCCAACAGUAAUUUGUUCACCCACCGUUUGCUAUCUUUCUCAAGAGAAGCCACUAGUGAAACCUACGGCCCCCGGGACUUCUUUCUCAUAUAUUUGCCUUGCGAUCUACUUUUUCCUUGCGUUUAUUUUCAGAUCUAUUAAACCAAAAAUACCAAAAUACCUUGCUUCAAUUUAUUCUUAUUUAUUUUAUUUUGCGUUCGAUCUAUCAAUCUACUACAAAUUUACCUCACGCCCUUUGCCUAUCUUGAGGCGUCGUACCCCGAAAGGGAUUGACAACCCCUUUAACAUGCCGGGUUGCGAGGUGUUGUUAUUUGUGUAUAGGGGCUGUUUACGUUAUGUUGCUUGGUUCUCCUACUAGUCUGAUAACCUUGGUUUCAUAUCUGAGGGAAAUACCUACCGCCGAUGUGUUGUAUCAUCCCUUCCUCUUUGGGGAAAUACUGACGUAGCUUCAAGCGACAUCAUGGAGCCAUCGGUCACCCCUAAGAAAGGCUUGGUGAGCAGAAGCUGGUCGUAUGGCACCUGGAGCGUGUCAAACAUCUCGACGGAGAGGACGUUGAGCCCCGCACCACCGCAGAUGAGGGUCUUGGUGAUGGGGACGUUGCUGAUUGUGGCUGUGUAGAGCAUCGAGAGCGCGCCAGCAACGGCCAAGAACUUGAGCUAGUCCAUAGAGUCAAAGGUGAUGGUGUGCUUGGACCACCUGAGGGGGCGCAACGCCUCGAGCUUGGGGAGGGCCGUGUUCACCUCACGAGUGAACUUCUUGAAGAUGCGAUGAGAAGCGGGGGCCUGAGCACUGAUACAUCUCCAAUGUAUCUAUAAUUUUUGAUGUAUUCAUGCCAUGUUUAUAAUAUUUUUACAUGAUUUUGGUAUAAUUUGGUUAGAACUAACCCAGACUGAUGCUAUUUUCAGCAGAACUACUGUGGUGUUGUUUUUGUGCAGAAAUAAAAGUUCUCAGAAUGCGCUAAAAAUCAACGAAGAUUCUUCUGGAAAAUAUAAACAAUACUAGAACGAAGAGUUACCGGAGGGGAGUCCCAUGGGCCCCACGAGGGUGGAGGGCACCCCACCCCCUAGGGCACACCCCCUGCCUCAUGGACUCUCCGUGGGGCCCCCUAACUUGUUCUCAACACCAACCUCUCCUAUAAAUCCCCAAACCUCCAUAACAUAACCUAGAUUAGGAGUUCCGCCGCCGCAAUCCUCUAUAGCCACCAAAAACCAAUCGGGACCCUGUUCCGGCACCCUGCCGGAGGGGGAAUCCAUCACCGGUGGCCAUCUUCAUCAUCCCGGUGCUCUCCAUGACAAGGAGGGAGUAGUUCACCCUCGGGCUGAGGGUAUGUACCACUAGCUAUGUGUUUGAUCUCUCUCUCUCUCUCUCUCUCUCUCUCUCUUGUGUUCUUGAUAUGGCACGAUCUUGAUGUACCAUGAGCUUUGCUAUUAUAGUUGGAUCUUAUGAUGUUUCUCCCCCUCUACCUUCUUGUAAUGGAUUGAGUUAUCCCUUUGAAGUUAUCUUAUCGGAUUGAGUCUUUCAGGAUUUGAGAACACUUGAUGUAUGUCUUGCGUGGGAUACCCGUGGUGACAAUGGGGUAUUCUAUCGAUUCACUUGAUGUAUGUUUUGGUGAUCAACUUGCGUGUUCCGUGACCUUGGGAAUCUAUGAAUAGGGGUUGGCACACGUUUUCAUCUUGACUCCCCGGUAGAAACUUUGGGGCACUCUUUGAAGUUCUUUGUGUUCGUUUGAAUAGAUGAAUCUGAGAUUGUGUGAUGCAUAUCGUAUAAUCAUACCCGCGGAUACUUGAGGUACAUUGGAAUAUCUAGGUGACAUUAGGGUUUUGGUUGAUGUGUGUCCUAAGGUGUUAUUUUACUACAAACUCUAGGGUUGUUUCUAACACUUAUAGGAAUAGCCCAAUGUAUUGAUCGGAAUGAAUAACUUUGAGGUGGUUUCGUACCCUACAAUAAUCUCUUCGUUUGUUCUCCGCUAUUAGUGACUUUGGAGUGACUCUUUGUUGCACUUUGAGGGAUUGUUAUAUGAUCUAAUUAUGUUAUCUUUGUUGAGGGAACUUGCACUAGUGAAAGUAUGAACCCUAGGCCUUGUUUCGAAGCAUUGCAAUACCGUUUUCUCUCACUUUUGUUACUUGCUACCUUGCUGUUUUUAUAUUUUCAGAUUACAAAAACCUAUAUCUACCAUCCAUAUUGCACUUGUAUCACCAUCUCUUCGCCGAACUAGUGCACCUAUAAAAUUUACCAUUGUAUUGGGUGUGUUGGGGACACAAGGGACUCUUUGUUAUUUGGUUGCAGGGUUGUUUGAGAGAGACCAUCUUCAUCCUACGCCUCCCAUGGAUUGAUAAACCUUAGGUCAUCCACUUGAGGGAAAUUUGCUACUGUCCUACAAACCUCUGCAAUUGGAGGCCCAACAACACCUACAAGAAGAAGGUUGCAUAGUAGACAUCAAGCUCUUUUCUGGCAUCGUUGUCGGGGAGGUUAGUGCUUGAUGGUAUAUAUUUAGAUGUUGCAAUCGAAUCUUUUAGUUGUUUUAUCACUAGUUUAGUAUAUAAAAUAAAACUACAAAAAAAUGGAAUUGAGGUUGGCUCAUAUGCUUCAUCUUUAUCAUGUCUUUCUUGAAAAUGAUGGAUCGGAAAAUUGUGCCGAAGUGUUAGAAGAAAAAUGCACUAAAAUGUUUGGCACUAAAUCUUUGAAUGAUGAGCAUGACUGCAAUGUUGUUAGUAUGAAUUCCUUGAAUAUCCAUGAUGCUAAUGAUAUGCAAAGCCACAAGCUUGGGGAUGCUAUGUUUAAUGAAUAUGAUAGUUUUACUCCCCCAAGUUUGGAUGAGAAAAUUUAUUUUAAUGAUAGCAUGCCUCCUAUUUAUGAUUAUUGUAUUGUUGAAAGCGGGUUUGUAAGAGUGUCAACUUUAGGAAGUAAUGAUCCCACUAUUUUGGAGGGUGUUGAAUCUUAUUAUAACAAUGAAAGUGGAUUUGGAGAGGUCAUGACUUUAUUUAGUGAUGAAUCCACUAUUUUAGAAGAGGUUCCAAUUGAUUAUGAGAAUAAAGUUGCUAUCUAUGAUGAUUAUUGUGAUGACAUGUAUGCUAUAAAGAAUAAUUAUAACCAUGAAACUUGUCAUCUUGACUUUAAUUUUCAAUUGGAUUAUGCCUCACAUGAUAGUUAUUUUGUUGAGUUUGCUCCCACUAUUCUGAUUGAGAAGAGUUUUGCUUAUGUGGAGAGUAAUAAAAAUUCUAUGCUUGUGGCUCAUGAAGAGAAUGAUCUAUGUGAUGGUUAUAUUGUUGAAUUCAUUCAUGAUGCUACUAAAAAUUAUUAUGAGGGAGGAAUAUCUGCUUUUAGGAAUUGCAAUAAUAUCAAGUUUCCUCUCUAUUUGUUGAAAAUCUUGAAGUUAUGCUUGUUUUGCUUUCCUAUGCUAGUUGAUUAUUGUUCCCAUAAGUUGUUUGCUCACAAAAUACCUAUGCAUAGGAAGUGGGUUAGGCUUAAAUGUGCUAGUCAUAUUAUUUAUGGUGCUCCCAUUAUGUUUCAAUUCUUAUCUUUUAUACGAGCAUCAUUGACAUCGACAUGCCUAGCUAGAAAGGCAUUAAAGAAAACUGCUUGUUGGGAGAAAAUCCAAUAUUUACCCCUAUUGUUUUUGUGUUUUCACAUGAUUAAGCUAAUGUAGUAAUCAUGUUUUAUAGAUUUCGUUUCAAUAAAGUGCCAAGUAAGACCUUUAGGAUAGCUUACGGUGAUAGUUGUGUUGAUCCUGCUGAAAAUUGGAAACUUUUGCGCCUAGUAAAUUAGUUUUGAAAAUUCACAUAAACGUCAUUUUGAUCUUAUUCAUUUUGCUCUGGAUUGGUACACAAAUUUCUCAGGUUUUCCUAAUUUUUCUGGAUUUUUGAAGUCACAUAAGUAUUCGAGAGUUACAGAUAACUACAGACUGUUCUGUUUUUGGCAGAUUCUGUUUUCUAUGUGUGUUUGCUUAUUUUGAUGAAUCUAUGAGUAAUAUCGGAGGGUAUGAACCAUAGAGCAGUUGGAAUACAGUAUAUAUUACACCAAUAUGAAUUUAGAAUGAGUUCACAACAUUACCUAAGUGGUGAUUUUAUUUUCUUAAUCUAACGGGGCUUACAAGUUUUCUGUUGAGUUUUGUGUUGUGAAGUUUUCAAGUUUUGGGUAAAGAUUCGAUGGUCUAUGGAAUAAGGAGUGGAAAGAGCCUAAGAUUGGGGAUGCUCAAGGCACUCCAAGGUAAUAUUAAAGGACAACCAAGAUACUAAGCUUGGGGAUGCCCCGGAUGGAAUCCCCUCUUUCGUCUUCGUUCAUCGGUAACUUUACUUGGAGCUAUAUUUUUAUUCACCACAUGAUAUGUGUUUUGCUUGGAGCAUCAUUUUAUUUUGUUUUGUUUUGCUUGUUGUUUGAAUAAUAUCCCAAGAUCUGAAAUUCUUAAAUGUUAGAGAGUCUUCACAUAGUUACAUAAUUGUUCAACUACUCAUUGAUCUUCACUUAUAUCUUUCGGAGUAGUUUGUCAUUUGCUCUAGUGCUUCACUUAUAUCUUUUUAGAGCACGAUGGUGGUUUUAUUUUGAAGAAAUUGAUGAACUCUCGUGCUUCACUCAUAUUAGUUUGAGAGUCUUAAAUAGCAUGGUAAUUUGCUUAGGUUAUGAAUUUAGUCCUAAUAUGAUGGGCAUCCAAGAGGGAUAUAAUAAAAACUUUCAUAUAAAGUGCAUUGAAUACUAUGAGAAGUUUGAUUCCUUAUGAUUGUUUGAGAUAUGAAGAUGGUGAUAUUAGAGUCAUGCUAGUGGAGUAUUUGUGAAUUUGAGAGAUACUUGUGUUAAAGUUUAUGAUUCUCAUAGCAUGCACGUAUGGUGAACCGUUAAUUAUGUGAUGAAGUCGGAGCAUGAUUUAUUUAUUGAUUGCCUUCCUUAUGUGUGGAGGUCGGGAUCUUGCGAUGGUUAACUCCUACCAACCCUUCCCCUAGGAGCAUGCGCGUAGUACUUUUUUAUGACUAAAAGAUUUUUGCAAUAAGUAUGUGAGUUCUUUAUGACUAAUGUUGAGUCCAUGGAUUAUACGCACUCUCACCCUUCCACCAUUGCUAGCCUCUCUUGUGCCGCGCAACUUUCGACUGUACCAUAACACCCACCAUUACCUUCCUCAAAAUAGCCACCAUACCUACCUAUUAUGGCAUUUCCAUAGCCAUUCUGAGAUAUUAUUUCCAUGCAACUUUCCAAUGUUCUGUUUAUUAUGACAUGCUUCAUCAUUGUCAUAUUGCUUUGCAUGAUCAUGUAGUUGACAUCGUAUUUGUGGCAAAGCCACCUUUCUUAAUUCUUUCAUACAUGUCACUCUGGAUUCACUGCACAUCCCGGUACACCGCCAGAGGCAUUCACAUAGAGUCAUAUUUUGUUCUAAGUAUCGAGUUGUAAUUCUUGAGUUGUAAAGUAAAUAAAAGUGUGAUGACCAUCAUUAUUAGAGCAUUGUCCCAGUGAGAAAAGGAUGAUGGAGGCUAUCAUUCCCCCACAAGUCGGGAUGAGACUCCGAACGAAAGAUAAAAAUAAAAUAAAAUAAAAGAGGCCAUAAAAAGAGAAGGCCCAAAUAAAAAAUAAAAAAUAAUGAGAGAAAAAGAGAGAAGGGGCAAUGCUACUAUCCUUUUACCACACUUGUGCUUCAAAGUAACACCAUGAUCUUCAUGAUAGAGAGUCUCCUAUGUUGUCACUUUCAUAUACUAGUGGGAAUUUUUCAUUAUAUAGAACUUGGCUUGUAUAUUCCAAUGAUGGGCUUCCUCAAAUGCCCUAGGUCUUCAUGAGCAAGCAAGUUGGAUGCACACCCAUUUAGUUUCUUUUUGAGCUUUCAUAAACUUAAAGCUCUAGUGCAUCCGUUGCAUGGCAAUCCCUACUCACUCACAUUGAUAUCUAUUGAUGGGCAUCUCCAUAACCCGUUGAUACGCCUAGUUGAUGUGAGACUAUCUUCCUCCUUUUUGUCUUCUCCACAACCACCAUUCUAUUCCACCUAUAGUGCUAUGUCCAUGGAUCACGCUCAUGUAUUGCGUGAAGAUUGAAAAAGUUUGAAAAUACUAAAGUAUGAAACACUUGCUUGGCUGAAACCUGGGCUGUGCAUGAUUUAAAUAUUUUGUGUGAUGAAGAUAGAGCAUAGCCAGACUAUAUGAUUUUGUAGGGAUAGCUUUCUUUGGCCAUGUUAUUUUGAGAAGACAUGAUUGCUUUGUCAGUAUGCUUGAAGUAUUAUUAUUUUCAUGUCAAUAUUAAACUUUUAUUUUGAAUCUUAUGGAUCUGAGUAUUCUUGCCACAAUAAAGAGAGAUUAUAUUGAUAAAUAUGUUAGGUAGCAUUCCACAUCAAAAAUUCUGUUUUUAUCAUUUACCUACUCGAGGACGAGCAGGAAUUAAGCUUGGAGAUGAUUGAUACGUCUCCAACUUAUCUAUAAUUUUUGAUGUAUUCAUGCCAUGUUUAUAAUAUGUUUACAUGAUUUUGGUAUGAUUUAGUUAGAACUAACCCGGACUGACGCUGUUUUCAGCAGAACUACCAUGGUGUUGUUUUUGUGCAGAAAUAAAAGUUCUCAGAAUAUGCUGAAAAUCAAUGGAGAUUUUUUCUGGAAAAUAUAAAAAAUACUGGAAUGAAGAGUUACCGGAGGGGAGUCCCGUGGGCCCCACAAGGGUGGAGGGCCCCCCCUAGGGAGCACUCCCUCCCUCAUGGACUCUCCGUGGGGCCCCCUAACUUAUUCUCGACACCAACCUCUCCUAUAAAUCCCCAAACCUCUAGAACAUAACCUAGAUCGGGAGUUCCGCCGCCGCAAGCCUCUGUAGCCACCAAAAAACAAUUGGGACCCUGUUCUGGCACCCUGUCGGAGGGGAAAUCCAUCACUGGUGGCCAUCUUCAUCAUCCCGGCGCUCUCCAUGACGAGGAGGGAGUAUUUCACCCUCGGGGCUGAGGGUAUGUACCAGUAGCUAUGUGUUUGAUCUCUCUCUAUCUCGUGUUCUUGAUAUGGCAUGAUCUUGCUGUACCGUGAGCUUUGCUAUUAUAGUUGGAUCUUAUGAUGUUUCUCCCCCUCUACCUUCUUGUAACGGAUUGAGUUUUCCCUUUGAAGUUAUCUUAUCGGAUUGAGUCUUUAAGGAUUUGAGAACACUUGAUGUAUGUCUUGCGUGGGAUACCAGUGGUGACAAUGGGGUAUUCUAUUGAUUCACUUGAUGUAUGUUUUGGUGAUCAACUUGCGGGUUCCGUGACCUUGGGAAUCUAUGCAUAGGGGUUGGCACACGUUUUCAUCUUGACUCUCCGGUAGAAACUUUGGGGCACUCUUUGAAGUUCUUUGUGUUGGUUUGAAUAGAUGAAUCUGAGAUUGUGUGAUGCAUAUCGUAUAAUCAUUCCCGCGAAUACUUGAGGUGACAUUGGAGUAUCUAGGUGACAUUAGGGUUUUGGUUGGUGUGUGUCUUAAGGUGUUAUUUUACUACAAACUCUAGGGCUGUUUGUGACACUUAUAGGAAUAGUCGAAUUGAUUGAUCGGAAAGAAUAGCUUUGAGGUGGUUUCAUACCCUACAAUAAUCGCUUCAUUUGAUCUCCGCUAUUAGUAACUUUGGAGUGACUCUUUGUUGCACUUGAGGGAUUGUUAUAUGAUCUAAUCAUGUUACCUUUGUUGAGGGAACUUGCAUAGUGAAAGUAUGAACCCUAGGCCUUGUUUUGAAGCAUUGCAAUACCAUUUUCUCUCACUUUUGUUACUUGCUACCUUGCUAUUUUUAUAUUUUCAGAUUACAAAAACAUAUAUCUACCAUCCAUAUUGCACUUGUAUCACCAUCUCUUCACCGAACUAGUGCACCUAUACAAUUUACCAUUGUAUUGGGUGUGGUGGGGACACAAGAGACUCUUUGUUAUUUGGUUGCAGGGUUGUUUGAGAGAGACCAUCUUCAUCCUAUGCCUCCCACGGAUUGAAAUACCUUAGGUCAUCCACUUGAGGGAAAUUUUCUACUGUCCUACAAACAUCAGCACUUGGAGGCCCAACAACGUCUACAAGAAGAAGGUUGCGUAGUAGACAUCAAGCACCACCUAGGAUGCACGCAAUCGCGCGCGGCUCCUGGAAGCCCCCAGCCCCAUCAUCUUGGCAGUUGUCGUCGUUACUUCUCGGCGGCGGCGGCGGCUGAGGAAGGCCAGCAUUGCCCUAAGGACGGUCCUCACGGGGCUGGUCAUGCCAGGGGCUAUCAUGAGACUGGCCCUGCCAGCAGUCCUCACGAGGCUGAUCGUGCUAGCCCUGGCAGGGGUCGCGGUUGUCCCAGCGGCCCCCUCCACGGUCGUAGCCACUGUCGUUGCGCUCGGGACUGCGGCCAAGGCGCCUGUCGUGGAUUGCCCUGAGCUCUUGGCAGUCGUUGGUGUUGUGGCUGUGGACGUUGUGGAAGACGCAGAAUGAGCGGUUGCUGAUGUCUGCUACGCAACCUUCUUCUUGUAGACUCGUGUUGGGGCUCCAAGCGCGGAGUUUUGUGGGACAGUAGCAAAUUUCCCUCAAGUGGAUGACCUAAGGUUUAUCAAUCCAUGGGAGGCGUAGGAUGAAGAUGGUCUCUCUCAAACAACUCUGCAACCAAAUAACAAAGAGUCUCUUGUGUCCCCAACACACCCAAUAGAAUGGUAAAUUGUAUAGGUGCACUAGUUUUGCGAAGAGAUGGUGAUACAAGUGUAAUAUGGAUGGUAGAUAUUGGUUUUUGUAAUCUGAAAAUAUAAAAACAGCAAGGUAGCAAGUAACAAAAGUAAGCAAAAAUGGUAUUGCAAUGCUUGAAAACAAGCCCUAGGGUUCAUAAUUUCACUAGUGCAAGUUCUCUCAACAAUGAUAACAUAAUUAGACCAUAUGACAAUCCCUCAACGUGCGACAAAAUUCACUCCAAAUUUCCUAUCGCGGAGAACAUAAGAUGAAAUUGCUUGUAGGGUACGAAACCACCUCAAAGUUAUUCUUUCCGAUCAAUCCAUUGGCUAUUCCUAUAAGUUCACAAACAGCCCUAGAGUUCAUUGUAAAAUAACACCAUAUGACACACAUCAAUCAACCCUAAUGCCACCUAGAUACUCCAAUCAUGGUUUUAAAUAGCAGAUAGCAGGCUGGUAGCAUAUUGGGGUUUGCGUACCAGAAUGCGGAUAGCGAGCGAUAUUGCAGGCGCUAUGUCCGUGUAGCGGAUUUGUAAAAACACUAGAUUAUUGUGUAUAUUUCUAUAUCAUUAAUAAAAAGUAAUGUCAUUUAAUUUUAACAGUAGCGGACGCUAUUGCGCUAGCGCUAUUGCGGAUGCAAUAGCGAAUGCUAUCUCCGCUAUUUGAAACUAUGACUCCAAUGUCACCACAAGUAUCCGUGGAUCAAAUAUACGACAUGCAUCAAACAACUUCAUAUUCAUAAUAUUCAAUCCAACAUAAAGAACUUCAAGAGUAUCCCAAGAUUUCUAUCGGAGAAAGGAAUAUGAAAACGCGUACCAACCCUAUGCAUAGAUUACCCCAAUGUCACCACGGGAAUCCGCAAGUAGAUAACCAAAACAUACAUCAAGUGGAUCAAUAGAACAUCCCAUUGUCACCAUGGAUAUCCCAUAACAAGACAUACAGCAAGUGCUAUCACAUCCAAAGAUUCAAUCCGACAUAACAAAACCUCAAAGGAAAAGACUCAAUUCAUCACAAGGAGAUAGAGGGGGAGAAACACCAUAUGGUCGAACUAUAGAAACAAAGCUCGCGGUACAUCAAGAUCUAGCCAAAUCAAGAACACGAGAGAGAGAGAGAGAGAGAGAGAUCAAACACAUAGCUACUUGUACAUACCCUCAACCCCGAGGGUGAACUACUCCCUCCUCGUCAUGGAGACCGCCGGUAUGAUGAAGAUGGCCAUGGGUGAUGGUUUCCCCCUCCGGCAGGGUUCUGGAACGGGCUCCCAAAUGGUUUUUCAUGGCUACAGAGGCUUGCGAAGGUGGAACUUCCGAUCUAGGUUUCUUUCUGGGGUUUUCUCUAUUUAUAGGAGUUUUUGGCAUCGAGGACGAGUCAGGAGGGUCCACGAGGCAAAGACAAGGAAGGGGGCGCGCCCUCCACCCUUGUGGAUGCCUCGUGGCUCCUCUAGUCCAUCUUCGAUACUCCGUGGGCUUCUUUUGGUCCAUAAAAAAUCAUCGUGAAGUUUUAUUCCAUUUGGACUCCGUUUGGUAUUCCUUUUCUGCGAAGCUCAAAAACAAGGAAAAAAACAGAAACUGGCACUGGGCUCUAGGUUAAUAGGUUAAUCCCAAAAAUAAUAUAAAAUAGCAUAUAAAUGCAUAUAAAACAUCCAAAAUAGAUAAUAUAAUAGCAUGGAACAAUCAAAAAUUAUAGAUACGUUGGAGACGUAUCAGUUGCCUGUGGAGGAUUCGCCGUGGUCGCAACCGCGCUUCAGCUCAGGUUCAGCCACGAGCACAGCGGGGCCCUUGCGCUUCACCUCCUUAGCCUUUGCCUUCUUGACUUUAGGAUCGGCCUCUGGAAGCUCCAGGAGGGACGACAACCUUCCUCUGCUUGCGCAUCUGGUUGCCAUGUUGAACAUCUCCAGAGCCGAACACAAGUCUUCGUGGAUGGCGAGCUCCUCCUUCAUCUUGACAUCCCAGACACCAUCAAAUAAUGUUGAGAUGAUGGCCUCGUCCGACAGCUUCAGGAUCUUGAGGCGAACGUUCGUGAAGCAUUGUAUGUACUUGUGCAAGGUAUCGCCCGGUUGCUGCUUUAUACGCUGCAGGUCGCCUGCUGUAGGAGCGCGGUCUCGAGUGCCCUGGAAGUUUGCGCGCUCGCGCAGCUCGUCUCGGGAGGAGAUCGAUCCCACUGAGAGGUUCAGGAGCCAAGAACGUGUGCCAUCCUUGAGGGCCCUGGGGAAAUAGUUCGCCAUGACCUUGUCAUCACCGUUCGCCACCUCGAUGCUCAGCUCAUAGAGCUGGAGGAAUUUGGCAGGGUCAGGGGUGUUGUCGUAGCAUGGAGGCAGAUCCGGUUUGAACUUGUCGGGCCAAACGACGCGGUGCAGCUCCAGAGUGAAGGCACGGCAGCCAGCCGCACUCAUGGGUGCGGGUCACAUGGGAGGAGCUUGGUCUUGACGCCCACGCGCCACCGGUGCUGGUGAUGCGAGGUAUUGGUGGUGGCGCUGAGUCGCGAAGAGCGGACGUGCAGCGGCCAGCGGCCGCUGCACAACCUAGCAGCUUGCCUCAUAUCGUGUCAGCGCCCCGCACGGCGGGUCGUGCUGGGGCUCGGGGACAACGUCGCACCGAGGAGGAGGAGGAGGAGGAGGAGGUGCGUCGUCGGCCAUGUCUCCUGCCUGGGACAGCGGGGGAGGCAGCGAGCAUGACAUUGCGGGGGGCUCUCCAGCGGCGCUGACGAGCUUGGUGAUGCGGUGUAGCCAGUCUUCGUAGAGGUUGUUGGCUGAAUGAUAGCACAGGAGUUUGCACGCCAUGAGCAGCACAGCCUGCGCGUUCGCCAGCCCCCGACGAUCAUGAGAGGACGACGCAGUGGCUGGGGUAGGCGAUGGAGUGGCGGUGCGGCCAUCAUGCCGCACGGAAGGCGGCAGUGAUGAAUCCUGCUGCUCAUGAGCUGCAGGACUGGUGGCGGUGUUGGCCGUGGGGGAAGCAGAGCGGCAAGGAGCAUUGUUGCCGGCGGGCUUCGUUAGGGCGACGCGAGCGGCCCGGUGCUCGGUACGAACACGGCGAGCAUCAGCCAUAGGAGCGGCGGAACGACGGCGGAGCGAAAGGUAAAGAGAGGCUUCGGCGCGCCCCUACCUGGCGUGCCAAAUGUCGGAUUCAGGGCUCCGCAGACCCAAGAAAGGUUCGAACUCUGGGGCAUGUGCAAAGAACUCAACCUCUCUGGCCAACCGACCCAUCGUCCCACGGCCUAGCUCGAUGAACAAGGAAGUAGAUGAUACGACAGUUUACCCAGGUUCGGGCCACCUUGCGAUGUAAGACCCUACUCCUGAUUUCGGGUGGAUUUGCCUCACGGGGGGCUGAGGAUGAACAAGUACAAGGGAUGAAUAACCUCACGAGGUCUGCUAUGGUGAGGGAAAGAGUCGAGGGGUUCGGUGGAUCUGGAUCCGGAUCCGGCCCUCGGUGGUGGCUAACCUAUACUUAUAGUGGCCUCGGUCCUCUUCUCCCAAAACAUAGGCGGGAAGGGAUCCCACAAUGGCCAAUUUGAAAGGGGAUAAGUAGUACAUCUUAUCUUGACAAAAGGUGGUCUUCUCCUGCAAAGCUUCUGGUCGUGACGCCGCGGUGGGCUCGGCGAUGACAUCCGUCCUGGUGGCCUUGGUCUCAUUGCACCGGAAUGGAAACCUUUGCCUAGUUCCUCGGGAACCCACGCCUGCGCUUGCCUCCUUAGAACCAAAGAGGAAAUUGUCUUCUCUGCACCCGCUGGCGCCCGCCUGGCCUUGAUCGUCAUGGCUUGCGUCACCGCAACCUCAUGAGGUUGGGCACCUACAUAGGAAUCUCCGCUCCUCGGGAGCAACCUGGGGAGGAGACCGCUCCCUCAGGAGGUCUUGGCGUCCUUUCCCUCGCGAGGGUCUUGUCUUGGUGGUGUCGUAGAUGGGCCGUACCAGGCCAUCGAUGGAGCCACGCCAUGGGCCGUAGGCAGGCAAGUUUGGAUACCCUGGUUCCCAAAACACCGACAGAAGCAUUAUCCGCGCAUCAGCCAAAAAGCUCGUCGGUCGAAGCUAGAAAACGUCAUCGACAUCGGUCUGGGAUAGACCAUCCUCCCAGAGAAGAAGGCAACGAAGGGAGCUAAACGACCACCACUGGCCAUAUAGAUUCAGUGAGACCUACCCUCACAAGCUUCCCAAUGACACCAAAGCGAGUAGAACAUUACCGGUCAAAGAAAGAGCCAUAGGACCAACCACUCUGUCGAAAGACACCUUCAAAGACCACCAGCAUAGUAUGAAGACACAACCAAUUCCACCACUCCGGGAGAGGGAAUUAGGAGAUAUACACAAGACCAGACAAUACUUUUCCCUCCUCUAUGUCGUCGAUGAGGUGGGCCAGGAGUCGAUGAAAUCUUAUUUUUGAUCAGCAUGGUGUUGCCAUUACCAUCACAGCAACAUUGUUGAGGAACGGAACACUAUUCCUUAGAGACCUAACUACAACUCCACAAUGGAAACCAACGGUCCCCAACCCCUCCCGACGCCAGAGCAACGGGCGAAGGAGGAGCGGACCUGUGGCCUCGCCGGUAGGGAGUGGAUGGAGCGGCAGUGAUUGUCUAGGGUUUCUGGUUGGACUUGCAAGAAUAAUAUCAUUGCAUCUAUCUUGCAAAAUUCUUUCUCAUGAUAUCAUUGUUUUUACUGUCUUUUACGUAUAUUUGGGCAUCUCGAGUGGCAACCCACAAAUUUCCUCUUGCAUCUGUCCACGAACGAGUGGACCAGUUUGUGGGCACGGAUGCGGGAGACCGCCGUCCAACCACAUCAUGUAUAUGUCCGCCAGUAAAUUCAAGUUCAAAACUACUCUGAUCCACACAGCGCGCCCGAUCACACCAGCGCCGGAUUGGAUGCCCAAUCACAACUAAAAUGAUGAAAAUAUCGCUAGUUUACAUGCCUAAAUCCAAAAGAACAUCCGUCCACGAGUCUGUGCAUUUUUUCCCUGCUGAACCGGCAAUCCCAGCCAGCUGCUCCCUGAUCAAGGAGGUGUCGUCGCCGUCGUGUAGGCAGCCUCCGCCUCCGCGUCCUCAUAGUCCGUCGCUGCCAACUCAUCUUUCUGCUGCUGCAACAUCUGGUAGCGGGCGGAUUGCACGAUCAUUAUUGCGUCGGCAUCCAAAGAGAUGACAUUCAAGAUCAACAUUUUGGCGUCCACCACAUUGGCGACGAUCUUCACCCUCUUUUCCUCGAGUGUGACCUUCCUCGCUUCGAUCAUGGUCCUCCUUUCUUCCAGCUUGAGCUUCUUGUCUGCCACGUCCAUCAACAGCUUGAACCUCUCCACCUUCUUCUCUCCUUUAUGUCCGAGUGCCUCACGCAUGCCUCCUCCUUCUUCACCAAGAUGUCCUCAAACCUCUUCGUCAGCUUGGUUACUGCACCUUUUCGCUUCGCCCUCUCCUCCUCCCACUUCUUCCCCUAUAAAUUUCUUCUAACCUUCUUCGUGGUUCUUGGGUUGGGUCGGUAGGGUCACCAGUUUCUUCCUUGUUUGCUUUGGUGGUGGUCUUGGCAAUGAAAAGGUCCCACUUUGGUUGCCCAUUCAACUUCAAAGAACAAUGCACGAUCGUGAAGGCAUUCUUCUCCAACUUCUUGUACACCACACAAGUACGAGUAGGUGAUACGUCUCCAACGUAUCUAUAAUUUUUUAUUGUUCCAUGCUAUCAUAUUAUCCAUCUUGGAUGUUUUAUAUGCUAUUUUAUAUGAUUUUUGGGACUAACCUAUUAACCUAGAGCCCAGUGGUAGUUUCUGUUUUUCCUUGUUUUUGAGUUUUACAGAAAAGGAAUAACAAAUGGAGUUCAAUUGACCUGCCAAUUUAUGGAGAUUUUUAUGGACCAGAAGAAGCCCCAGAAGCAAAAGAGUUGGGCCAGAAGAGUCUCGAGUCAUCCACGAGGGUGGGGGCGCGCCCUAACCCCCUGGUAGCAUGCCCCUACCUCGUGGCUGACUCGGAGACCCCCCCCCCUAACAUGAAACCGACGCCAAAAAUCCAUAUAAAUACACAAACCCCUGAAAAGAAACCUAGAUCAGGAGUUCUGCCGCCGCAAGCCUCUGUAGCCACCAAAAAACAAUCGGGACCCUAAUCCGGCACCCUGUCGGAGGGGGGAUCCAUCACCGGUGGCCAUCUUCAUCAUCCCGGCGCUCUCCAUGACAAGGAGGGAGUAGUUCACUCUCGGGGCUGAGGGUAUGUACCAGUAGCUAUGUGUUCGAUCUCUCUCUCUCUCGUGUUCUUGAUAUGGCACGAUCUUGAUGUACCGCGAGCUUUGCUAUUAUCGUUGGAUCUUAUGAUUUUUCUCCCCCUCUACCUUCUUGUAAUGGAUUGAGUUUUUCCUUUGAAGUUAUCUUAUCGGAUUGAGUCUUUAAGGAUUUGAGAACACAGUAUGUAUGUCUUGCAUGUGCUUAUCUAUGGUGACAAUGGGAUAUUCACGUGAUUCACUUGAUGUAUGUUUUGGUGAUCAACUUGCGGGUUCAGUGACCUUGUGAACUUAUGCAUAGGGAUUGGCACACGUUUUUGUCUUGACUCUCCGGUAGAAACUUUGGGGCACUCUUUGAAGUUCUUUGUGUUGCUUUGAAUAGAUGAAUCUGAGAUUGUGUGAUGCAUAUCAUAUAAUCAUACCCGCGGAUACUUGAGGUGACAUUGGAGUAUCAAGGUGACAUUAGGGUUUUGGUUGAUGUGUGUCUUAAGGAGUUAUUUUACUACGAACUCUAGGGUUGUUUGUGACACUUAUAGGAAUAGCCCAAUGGAUUGAUCGGAAAGAGUAACUUUGAGGUGGUUUUGUACCCUACCAUAAUCUCUUCGUUUGUUCUCCGCUAUUAGUGACUUUGGAGUGACUCUUUGUUGCAUGUUGAUGGAUUGUUAUAUGAUCUAAUUAUUUUAUAAUUGUUGAGAGAACUUACGUUAGUGAAAGUAUGAAUCAUAGGCCUUGUUUUGAAGCAUUGCAAUACCGUUUUCGCUCACUUUUAUUACUUGUUACCUUGCUGUUUUUAUAAUUUCAGAUUACAAAAACCUAUAUCUACCAUCCAUAUUGCACUUGUAUCACCAUCUCUUUGCCGAACUAGUGCACCUAUACAAUUUACCAUUGUAUUGGGUGUGUUGGGGACACAAGAGGCUCUUUGUUAUUUGGUUGCAGGGUUGUUUGAGAGAGACCAUCUUCAUCCUACGCCUCUCACGGAUUGAUAAACCUUAGGUCAUCCACGUGAGGGAAAUUUGCUACUAUCCUACAAACCUCUGCACUUGGAGGCCCAACAACGUCUACAAGAAGAAGGUUGCGUAGUAGACAUCAGUAGGCUACAAAGUGAAACAAUAUCGACAAUGCAUAUCCGUCUAGUGAGUAACAAAACAAUACAUGUCCGGCUAGUGAUCAACAAAACUAAAGCAUAUCCGGCUAGUGAUCAACUUACUUGCUCGGUGAUUUGUGCACCGCUAGCUAGGCCACUGUACGAUAUGAGAUGCUUCAAGUGCCUACAAUACUUGGACACAACCUCUUGGAUGGUGUACCAUGGAUGGUUGAAGGACUUCCGUUCAUGGUUGCGGAUGACCGCGUCGGAGUAGGGCGUGAAAUGCUUGUGUUCAUGGAACCAUAAUCAAUGCUAGUGGCCAACCAUGCGUCGCAGGACAGCUUGUCCUCCUGCAUGUUGAAGCUUUCUCCUCUACCCUUCUUUAGAUCGUCGGCUGUAUCAUCCGAACCAUCGUCGUCGCCGUCCUUCUCCUCCUCCUCAUCUGGAUGUUGCUCUCCGGCGGCCUAAAGUUGUUGUUGUUGUAUGCCAUCGUCGGUCUGGGUGUAGGAAUGUUGCUGCUGGUAGUUGCCGGGUUGGGUGGGAUCCAAGUCUUCCACCUGCCCGUCCUCAUAGCCCACUCCUCCUCUCUCGCCUUCGUCGUGGAUGAUGUCGGGCAUCUCCCUGUCUGUGUCGUACGCCAGCUCCCCCGCUCUAGGCAUUACAGCGAACAGCGUGGGCACCCAUCUGCUCCCCAACUGUCUUAUGUGCCCAGACGACCUGCGGCGAAGAAUACUUGCAGAAGAGCGGCGCCGCGUUAACGUCGACGGUGUAAGGCACCGUACCGGUGGGGGUUCCAAGCUGCUUGGCGGCGCAGUAGUAUGGAGGCUUGUAAGGCUCCGGCCAUGGGGUCGUCCGUACUGUGGGCGUAGCCGUCUGACGGCGUCCGCCACGGCCAUGCCGACCGCCUCGCCCGCCACGACCUCCACGCCCAUCGCCACCACCAGGCUCACCGGCGGCCAACCACUUCUUGAGCUUCUCCUCCUUUGCGGCCUUCACUUUGACGCGUCGAGUUUGCUGCAUCGUCGAGCUGAUCUUCCAGGAGAGUGUGAUGCUUAGAUCCUCCGGCACGUCCGUCGGCUCCAUCUUCGACAAGUUUUCCAACGGUUCCAAGCGUUGGCGGAGGAAGGAAGGAGAGGGUGGGGAAAAAGAGCGGGAAUUGGGCGGAGAGCGGCGGGGGGUGGAAGAAGAGAGUGGGAGAUUUUGGCGCGGAAACAGUGUGAGAUGCUAUAAAGCGUGGGCUCCGCCUUCCUUUUGUGUGGGCCAGGGGUAUAGAGCGACGUUUCUCGUGUCCAGACUCCCGCAAAGUCCCCCACAUUUGUCUCCAGUUUGAGGGAGAUAAUACGUCCGGACCGCGCCACGGACCGAUACAUGACCGCGUUAGAUGGCUUCCGUGGUCCGAACAGCGUAGUCCGAACGCAUGCGGGAGGUUUGCGGGUCAGAGCUGGAGAUGCCCUUACAAGUACAAAUUAUAGCCAGCAUCGUGCCCCAAAGACCAUGAAAAGUUAAACCUCCUUACAUUUUUUCGAGCGUAGGGAGUGACGAUUCACUUCAAGAAAAGAAGUAAUUAACCAAGAACUUAAUCUAGAUAAGAUCUGUCACACAUGUUCCUUUCAUCCCAGUGGCCACACCCACACAAAAUAAACAACAGUGGAACCCAAAACAAAUAUACCAGCCACAAUAAUUGCGUUACGUAUACUUGUCGUGUACCACGUACGAAGGUUGACCCCUACCGCCCUACUAGUACGUAUUAUUCCCGGGAGCUUUUCACCACGAAUCUGUUCCUCGCAACUCGAUCACAUGCAUGCACACCUAUUCUAUCCCGGGGACAGCCGCCGUCCAUGUCACCGUCACCAUAUAUAUUUCGCUGAUGGAUUUGAUAUAUGGAUCGACCGAUUUGAAAUAUGUUUGUACGACCGGUGUGAGUCAUGCACGCGGGACUCCGGCCGUGGAGAGGCAAAGGUCCAACUACAACUGUCCAAGAGCGCACCUAACAUGGAUGUGUCACGAAUCACGUUUGAUUAUUAUGCGUGCAAUGAUAUAUUUGUUGAUUAUUAAUGUGGUGUGUGUGUGUGUACUGGAUGGGGCAUUAGUGACGAUUUGUGGCGAGGGCGGGGGGACAUGUCUGGAUAUAUAGGUCUCGCAGCAUGUGGAUCCAAACAUUGUUGCAUCAUAAUAUGCCAUGGCAUUGGUAACUUUAUUGGCUCACUUUUUACAAGUUCGUCUUUUGGAAAUUGAAUGUUGUCAUAAGUAAAACUUUGUGGAUGGCGUCGUACUUUUUCUAGUAAAGGAAUUUGAUUGCUUCGAUCGUCAUGUCAAGAUGGUAAAAACUGUUAGGACGGUUCAAAAGCCACAUCAUUUCUACAUAACCAAAGUGCCCGACACAGAGCCGUCGCCCCCAUCGUUCAUUCUUAGGGCAUCUUUAAGGCGGAUCCGCAAAUCACCCACAUCCAUCCGGAUCGGGUUGUACGGACCGCCGAAGCCAUACAACGCGGGUUUGUAUCAGUUCGCGAGGCGGUCCGGACGCGUUUUCUCCGGCAAACCGGGGACAAAAGUGGGGGGGGGGGGGUGCGGGAAUCCGAACACCAGACACGUAGGACUUCGACACCCCUGGCCCGCCCAAAAUCCUUCCCGGACCCCGCGCCUCCAUCCUUUCCAUUUUGUCUUCUUCCUUCUUUCUCUUUUGCCUUCACCGCCGCUCGACCAUCCCGGCCGCCACGCCACAACCCUGCCGAAAAUCUACGUCUCCCUCACCUCCAGCGCUUCAGCAGGACUCCACCCCACUUCUCCUCCGUCACUGUUCAACCCUCUGACCGCCCCGCCAGGUACCGUACAUUGUUAUACUCACCAUGGUUGGCAAUUGUUCGAUGAAUUAUUGCAGCUAAAAAAAUCCCUUCUUCUUUCUGGCAAUGGAUUUUCAUUUGAAGUACAUGUACGAGCAGUAUGUUGAGUUGUCCCGCGAGGAGUACUCCGAUGAGAUGGCGAUGAUGCGGGCGGUCCUUGAAGACGUCGAGCGUGCGGAGGAGCUUGUUCUCAGUUUAAAAGAAAAAAAAAAGAAAGGCUGAUGUAUACGGCUAUGGUUGAAUGGCGGCCUCCGCAUCCGUGUCCUCCCCUGUCCGUGGACGGAAGCGGGAGGAAAUUUGCGGGUUGCCGUUGGAGAUGCUCUUAAGCAGCACGAAUAACUUCUCUCUGCAAAAAAAAACAUAGGAUUACCGUUCAUUGGGGUGGUGGAGUUGUGGGUGUCACACACAUAAAUUCCUCCAGUUCGUUUAUACUUUGUGCAAUCGAAAUCGGAUUUAUGUUCAGUCCUAGUCAGUUCUAAGGUCACGCUUUAGGGAGCCGACACGUGUGCCAAAGCUUGGGUCACUGAUCCGUAUAAUACUGCACUUAUGCAAUGGAUUAGUACAUAAGUAGGUCAACAGUUUUUUCGUGUCAAUGGUACGGCACAGCUAGCUUGAAACGGGAAGCCAUAUGCAAGAAAACAAAAAAGAAAUUCAGUCUUUUCAAUGUUCCCUUUCAUUGCAUAUUCCGGCUUCCGUGGAAGGAAAUCCGCCACACAGGUUCAUCAAAUUAUGCAGGUUAUUAUAUAUCGGCCACACCUGCUGCGCUGGUGCAGAUCCAGCUAGUUAAAUCAGCAAAACACAUAUUGUUAGAUAAACCAGAAUGAUAUAUAGGUUAUUUAUUUCUGAUUCACAGGGUGGCAUUUGCCGGCCCUGGUGGCAGAGAGAGGGGCCAAUUUUAAUCAACAGAUUUGCAAAGUAAGCAACAUAUGUUGAUGUUGCUAGAAUUUCAAUAAAAAUUGUCUAGUAAUAAACCACAAGGAUCAGGGGCAUGGCUGGGGCACCGGUGUGAGAUCAAGAGUCUAGGGCACAUGAAGAAGAGGAUGAACCCAGCUGUUAAGGGCAGCUUCAGCUUGGUACUGGUAGGCUGCUGAUCCAAUCCGCUCCAAAUUCUCAAAGAAAGCCAUAAUAUAUACUCCCUCCGUUGCUAAAUAUAAGCCCUUUUAAAGAUUUCAGUAGGGACUACAUACGGAGUAAAAUGAGUGAGUCCACACUCUAAAAUGCGUGUAUAUACAUCCGCAUCCGUAUGGAAGUCUCUAAAAGGGCUUACAUUUCAAGACGGAUGGAGUAUUUGAGAGCCAAGUUGGGAAAAUGGACAAGUGAGCGUAUGUUGGAGAUUCAGAAAGAAGAGGAUCCCAACGCACUUAGUGAACAUGGGCACAAGUGGCCGGAGCUGGAUUGGGUGCAGGGCUCUGAAAGGGGAACAACCCUUACAUCGGCGUAAAGCGCUACCAAAGCGGGUCACAUAAGUAGCGAGUGAACAUUGGUUGGCGGGCUCUCUGUCUGCCCAUCACUUUGACUCUUUGAGGAUGGCAUCAAGGGCUGCUUCCAAAAUUGGCAUGUGAAACCGCUUAUCACCCCCAUCAGAAACAACGUAGAGCUUGACAGACAGUUUGGUAGCCUAACUUCAGCACGGGUUUUUCUCUUUCUUUACGGUAGCUGUAGAGCAAUGUUUUGGAGGAGGAAAGUACACUACAACAAGAAUGACAAUUGUUGCCUUUGAUUUUAUUUUUUUAAUAAAAACGAGAACCCUAAUGAAUAAGGCUCCAGUGACCAAAUAAACCCAAUGCUUUUUUUUUUCCUAGUUUCACCCUAGAGUGGAAUGAGAAAGCAUUGGCCAAUUUAGUUUUGAGACAAAGAUUAGCUCACAUCCUAAUUUUUCACAAAGUGCACGUAGAAUGAAACCUUAGCUGACUAACACCAAGUGCAAAAUGAACUAGGAACAAACAUCAUAUAAAUAAGAUUUGCCACCAGAGAACUGCUUCAGUAAGUCCUACCACGCACCAAAGAUGGCAUGUUGCGACAAGCCGAGCUGCCAUCAGGCAAUCCAAGAGCUAACAUGAUAACAGUUCCAACAUACUCCCUCCGUUCCAAAAUACUUGUCGUGGUUUUAGUUCAAAUUUGAAAAUUUUGAACUAAAAACACGACAAGUAUUUUGGAAUGAAGGGAGUACAUCAUAAACAGAUUCACAAGUUCAAUGCUAACUCAACAAUCAUUUAUUUCCACGUAGUAAUACACAUAAGCCUAGAGAGCACAUUUAUUCAAGUUCAAAAUUGAAUGGACGACUCACUCGUACUCAAACAGUCUACAAAGACUAGAAUUACAUCACCAACCGAUAGUACAUCACAGAACUACAGCGAAACACAAUCGCCAUACUGGAGAAACCGGAACACCACAGAACAACAACUCUAGAUCGCCAGUGUUCUUGCCAACAGCAGCCCCCACGCACCGCCGGCAUUCAUCUCAAACCUUCUGGAAGCGGAACUAACACAUCCAACUACACUCAUCAACCAUUCGGAGGCGUCCGAAAGCAAGUUUUGCCUCGAAUAACAGAGAAGACCGCGAAAAAGUUUUACAAAAUAAUGGUUGAGUCAGAUCAGCUAUGGUCGGUUACAGCCGAAUAGUAUCCUUCUAUAUAUGUACUUCAAGAGAAACCGAUAUCAUGCACAUUCUGCAUUGGAUGCGUUGGUAUCAUCUGAUCAUUUAAGGACUUUCUUGACUUCCUCAACAAACUGUGCUCUCCUUGAGGGAUCCAUCUGAACAAGCGAGUGACCAAAGAAAAAGCAUUAUCAUUAUUUGUUAAGACACUAUAUAUACAUAAGAUGGCAACAUUUCACUCAACCUCAAUAAAUUACUUUCAAGAAAUAAAACAGUAAGUAUGUGUACCUUCUCUAGUAGCAUAGAAAGACCCUGUGGCAAGGCUUCUAGAUCUGGACUGGAGUCUGCAACAUCUGAGAGCAACUGAGAUACCCUUUGAGCCCUGAGUUCUUUGAUAUACUCCUGGUAGUUUUCAGGGUUUUCCCUCCAGGCAACAAAAGCAUCGUCAUCAUCCCAUUCAGUGCUUCCUGUUUCAGCUCCCUUAGAGGCCAAGUACCAUUUCUGGAUCAGCUCGAUUGCCGAUUGGUGAGAAAACUGCUUGCCACUUACACCUCUAAUUUCCUUCGCAAGAACAUCCUCGGAUAUCCUCCUCCGUAAUCUCUUGUAGAAGAACGACCUAGAAUCUUCCCAGUCUACAACCUUCUUAAUCACACCCUUAGCAGCCAUUCUAAGGGAAGUGUCAUGCAAUUCAGCGAACCGUACCGCAAUUUGAGUAUACAAAGGCAACAACUGUUUCUUCCGGGCUUCUAUGCUCUUCUGAAGGGAUUCUGACUCAGGUAGACUUCCAUUUUCAUGCUUUACUCCCUGGAGCUUUGCCUUCAGAUUUAUCAAUUCUGGAUCAAGCCUACCCAUGCACUCUUGGAGUUCCUCUGACCUGAACUUGAUCUCGAUCAACCCUUGAGGUUCGAGAACAUUGCCCUUUGCAGUCCUCUCAGCAUAGAACUCAAUGCGAUCUGGAUUUAUCUUGCUAUCAAUCACGACCCAAGCCCCUCCACGUAGCUCUGCAGCCUUGGGGAUAUAUACAAAGGCAGGCUGAUUGUAUGUCCUAAGGUUCUCAACAAUUGUUGACCCAGCCUGAAGGAUUCCUUCAAAAAGAUCUCUUUGUCCACCAGAGAAGCCUCUCCAGUUAGCAAGGAUGAACAGAGGUAAUCCUUCACGGUUGAAGUCCAGCAUUGCCUGCGCUGUCUUAGUAGCUGAAUCUGGAAACCAGACUUGCCCAGCACGAGGAACAGACCGCUCAUGGGAAUCAAGCUGGCCUGGAUCAGCAGGGAUGAGCUGCAUCAUAGUCUGUGUCUCCACAGCUAUAACACCCACCGGAAUCCCUCCGAGUUUAGCUCUGCCAGUAACAACUGACUUCGCCCAUCCUUCAAAUGUCUCCACAAAACUGUCUUUGUCGAACAUGCCCCCCAACCAUUUCCCUUGGCUAUCAUCAAUGCCACUGAUGGCAGCACGAGGAUCGCAUGUAUUCUCAGGGAUGUAAGCAACGGGUCUGUCAGGUGGGUCCAAAGAUUUUGUAAUAGGAAGAGGUCCACCAAUGUUGGCAGGAACAUAGCUGAGCCACCUCAAUAUAUUAGAUACACCUUCAAGGUCAUCUGAAACUGUCAGAUGGACAACACCGUUUGUCGCCAUAAUUUUGGGGCCACCCAACUGCAUGUGGGAGCUGUAAACUUCCCGGCCAAGAAGCUUGUUCAAGGCAGAGAACCCAGUUAGGAUAAUGGGCUGGUCAGUACGCUGUAUGCACCGUAUGCCAAGUCGAGCAAGAUAUGCUCCUAUUCCAACAGUCCGUCCAGUCACAAAUGUAAGCGUAAAUGUCUCCUCAUAGGCCCUAGAAUAGGCACUGGCAAUAGCAGCACUUCCAUGUAUGUUCUCCACACCUAGCCCAUCCUCCUUCCCCACAACAGAAUCGAUAACCCACCUAAUUUCACCAUUAUCAAGCUGCAUCUUGUGCGCUAUAACAGAAGUGCUAAUACGA